This 392-nucleotide long non-coding RNA is filed under the name Nicotiana tabacum (common tobacco). RNAcentral describes it as "long non-coding RNA (NTAB_LNC015868)". Lineage: Eukaryota; Viridiplantae; Streptophyta; Magnoliopsida; Solanales; Solanaceae. The record is from RNAcentral.
UGGGCAAUGUCAUAUAGCUGCAUUAGCUUUUCGAAGUAUAGUAAGAACAUGAUACGGAAAGCUGUCUUCUGCAAAUAUGUUUUCAAUUACUAUUAAUACAUAGAUGAAGAAAGAGUCACUUUACUUCUGUUAUUGCAUUGUUGGUCCCUCUUGUUCAGAACUAAACAUGACAGACCCAUUUUGCAAAUGUCAAUGCGAAGAUUCAACAAGAUCAGUAACACGUCAACUUCAGGUUCAUAGAGAUUCGGCAACACUACUAGCAAAAGUGGAGUUUCACAUUCAAGUUCGAGAUUCAAAGAGAUCAAAUAUUUCUGGCUGUUCUGGCAACAGUACACUUUCAACUUGCCAUUCUUUCUUUCCUAAAGCAAAAGGAAACCAGAGAAAAUGGAAGA